ACGAAGGGGGCUAGCGUUGCUCGGAAUGACUGGGCGUAAAGGGCGCGUAGGCGGUUUGUACAGUCAGAUGUGAAAUUCCCGGGCUCAACCUGGGGGCUGCAUUUGAUACGUGCGGACUUGAGUUCGGAAGAGGGUCGUGGAAUUCCCAGUGUAGAGGUGAAAUUCGUAGAUAUUGGGAAGAACACCGGUGGCGAAGGCGGCGACCUGGUCCGAUACUGACGCUGAGGCGCGAAAGCGUGGGGAGCAAACAGGAUUAGAUACCCUGGUAGUCCACGCUGUAAACGAUGUGUGCUGGAUGUUGGGCGACCUAGUCGCUCAGUGUCGUAGCUAACGCGAUAAGCACACCGCCUGGGGAGUACGGCCGCAAGGUUG
This 372-nucleotide ribosomal RNA is filed under the name uncultured bacterium. RNAcentral describes it as "bacterial SSU rRNA". It matches the Rfam family "Bacterial small subunit ribosomal RNA", at positions 525 to 896 of the family's 1533-position model. The record is from RNAcentral.